RNAcentral lists this ribosomal RNA (245 nucleotides) under uncultured Sphaerochaeta sp. RNAcentral describes it as "partial 16S ribosomal RNA". It matches the Rfam family "Bacterial small subunit ribosomal RNA", at positions 524 to 767 of the family's 1533-position model. Lineage: Bacteria; Pseudomonadati; Spirochaetota; Spirochaetia; Spirochaetales; Sphaerochaetaceae. The record is from RNAcentral.
CACGUAAGGUGCGAGCGUUGUUCGGAAUCAUUGGGCGUAAAGGGCGCGUAGGCGGCCGGGCAAGCGGGGUGUGAAAGGCGGGGGCCCAACCCCCGGACUGCGCCCCGAACUGCGCCGGCUCGAGUCGCCGUGGCGCCGGGGGAAUUCCAGGUGUAGGGGUGAAAUCUGUAGAUAUCUGGAAGAACACCGGUGGCGAAGGCGUCCGGCGAGCGGACGACUGACGCUGAGGCGCGAAGGUGCGGGGA